This 782-nucleotide ribosomal RNA is filed under the name uncultured bacterium. Its description in RNAcentral is "bacterial SSU rRNA". It matches the Rfam family "Bacterial small subunit ribosomal RNA", at positions 403 to 1184 of the family's 1533-position model. The record is from RNAcentral.
GAGGGAUGAAAGCCUUCGGGUGUAAACCUCUUUCAGUAGGGAAGAAGCGACUGGGUUCUCUCAGACGUGACGGUACCUGCAGAAGAAGCGCCGGCUAACUACGUGCCAGCAGCCGCGGUAAUACGUAGGGCGCAAGCGUUGUCCGGAAUUAUUGGGCGUAAAGAGCUCGUAGGCGGUUUGUCGCGUCUGGUGUGAAAACUCAAGGCUCAACCUUGAGCUUGCAUCGGGUACGGGCAGACUAGAGUGUGGUAGGGGUGACUGGAAUUCCUGGUGUAGCGGUGGAAUGCGCAGAUAUCAGGAGGAANNNNNAUGGCGAAGGCAGGUCACNNNNNNNNNUACUGACGCUGAGGAGCGAAAGCAUGGGGAGCGAACAGGAUUAGAUACCCUGGUAGUCCAUGCCGUAAACGUUGGGCACUAGGUGUGGGGCUCAUUCCACGAGUUCCGCGCCGCAGCUAACGCAUUAAGUGCCCCGCCUGGGGAGUACGGCCGCAAGGCUAAAACUCAAAGGAAUUGACGGGGGCCCGCACAAGCGGCGGAGCAUGCGGAUUAAUUCGAUGCAACGCGAAGAACCUUACCAAGGCUUGACAUACACCGGAAUCGGCCAGAGAUGGUCGCGUCUUCGGACUGGUGUACAGGUGGUGCAUGGUUGUCGUCAGCUCGUGUCGUGAGAUGUUGGGUUAAGUCCCGCAACGAGCGCAACCCUCGUCCUAUGUUGCCAGCACGUCAUGGUGGGGACUCAUAGGAGACUGCCGGGGUCAACUCGGAGGAAGGCGGNGACGACG